This 1749-nucleotide ribosomal RNA is filed under the name Triticum aestivum (bread wheat). Its description in RNAcentral is "partial small subunit ribosomal RNA". The record is from RNAcentral. Lineage: Eukaryota; Viridiplantae; Streptophyta; Magnoliopsida; Poales; Poaceae.
AUGUCCUCCUCCAACCAGGAGGAUCACGACGAGGACGCGCCCCUCGUCCGCGACCCGGCCGCCUCCUCCUCCUCCUCCCGCCACCACCGCCCCUCCGCCUCCUCCUCCUCCGCCGUCGGCGAGGUGCCCGUCUCGCAGUCGCUCAUCAAGGCGGCCAGCAACGUGUGCUUCUCCUUCUUCGUGCUCGCCGUGCUCGCCGUCACCGUCGUCGCCGUCACCUACCAGCCGCCCGACCCCUGGCUCCAGUCCUCCGCCGCCAUCACCACCUCCCUCGCCCGCGUCCUCCCCAACUCCUCCUUCCUCCUCCCCGACGACUCGCUCCUCCCCACCGGCGAGGACUUCCCCUCCCCCUCCCCCUCCUCCGACGCCGCCGACCAGGCCCAGGCCGCCGUUCCCUCGGGCAUCAACGCCACUGCGGGCACCUGCGACCCGGACGCCCCGCUCAACUGCACCGACCCGCGCGUGCUCGCCGCCGUCAAGGCCUUCAACGCCAAGGCCUUCUUCCGCAGGUCCAUCGUCUUCCUCAGCUACGAGGCGCCCGUGCGCGGGCCCAAGCCCGGCCAGUGCGACGUCGCCUGGCGCUUCCGGAACCGCCGCGAGAAGUCCUGGCGCCGCUACAGGGACUACCGCCGCUUCGAGCUCGCCCCCGCCGACGGGUGCGCGCUCGACAUCACCAAGGUCGGCAAGUUCAGGUCGGGGAAGAACGCGGCUCGCCCGCCGCGCCCCAAGGGCCCCAAGAAGCCGCGCGUCGCGGCGCCGCCGGUGGACGCGGAGAUCAACGACACGAUCCCCCUCGUUGGGUCGGAGGCGGAGUUCAGGAGAGGCAAGUACCUCUACUACAUGAGAGGCGGUGACCACUGCAAGAGCAUGAACCAGUUCAUCUGGAGCUUCCUCUGCGGGCUCGGCGAGGCCAAGUUCCUCAACCGGACGUUCGUGAUGGAUCUGAACAUGUGCUUGUCCGGGGCUCACACAGAGGACGGCAAGGAUGUGGAUGGCAAGGAUUUUAGGUACUAUUUUGAUUUCGAGCACCUCAAGGAGUCGGUGUCUCUGGUGGAGGAAGGGGACUUCUUGAAGGACUGGCGGCGCUGGGACAAGAAGAAGGGUCCGGGCCGGAUCUCGGUGCGGAAGGUGCCCACAUACAAGGUGACACCAAUGCAGCUGAAGAGGGACAAGAGCAACAUCAUUUGGAGGCAGUUUAAUGGGCAUGAGCCUGAGAACUACUGGUACAGGGUCUGCGAGGGGCGAGCUGCCAAGGUCAUCCAGAGGCCUUGGUAUGCUAUUUGGAAGUCCAAGAGGCUGAUGAACAUUGUGACUGAGAUCGCAGGCAGGAUGGAUUGGGACUACGAUGGUUUGCAUGUGGUCCGAGGGUGGAAGGCAAUGAACAAGAAGAUGUAUCCGAACUUGGACGCGGACACAUCACCCGACGCGAUCGUAGAUAAGGUGACCAAGCUUAUCAAGCCGUGGCGGAACCUCUACAUCGCAACCAAUGAGCCAUUCUACAACUACUUCGACAAGCUCAGGUCACACUACCAUGUGCAUUUGCUUGAUGAUUAUAAGGAGCUUUGGUCGAAUACGAGCGAGUGGUACAACGAGACGACAGCGAUCAAUAAUGGGAAGGACUUGCCGUUCGAUGCGUACAUGAAGGUGAUUGUGGACACUGAGGUAUUCUACAGAUCAAAGGCAAAGGUUGAAACGUUUAACAACCUGACGAGAGAUUGCAAAGAUGGAAUCAACACGUGCAAUUUGUGA